AUUGAACGCUGGCGGCAGGCCUAACACAUGCAAGUCGAACGGUAACAGGAAACAGCUUGCUGUUUCGCUGACGAGUGGCGGACGGGUGAGUAAUGUCUGGGAAACUGCCUGAUGGAGGGGGAUAACUACUGGAAACGGUAGCUAAUACCGCAUAACGUCGCAAGACCAAAGAGGGGGACCUUCGGGCCUCUUGCCAUCGGAUGUGCCCAGAUGGGAUUAGCUAGUAGGUGGGGUAACGGCUCACCUAGGCGACGAUCCCUAGCUGGUCUGAGUGGAUGACCAGCCACACUGGAACUGAGACACGGUCCAGACUCCUACGGGAGGCAGCAGUGGGGAAUAUUGCACAAUGGGCGCAAGCCUGAUGCAGCCAUGCCGCGUGUAUGAAGAAGGCCUUCGGGUUGUAAAGUACUUUCAGCGGGGAGGAAGGGAGUAAAGUUAAUACCUUUACUCAUUGACGUUACCCGCAGAAGAAGCACCGGCUAACUCCGUG
RNAcentral lists this ribosomal RNA (490 nucleotides) under uncultured bacterium. RNAcentral describes it as "partial 16S ribosomal RNA". It matches the Rfam family "Bacterial small subunit ribosomal RNA", at positions 30 to 507 of the family's 1533-position model. The record is from RNAcentral.